CCCUUAGAUGUUCUGGGCCGCACGCGUGCUACACUGAGUGGAUCAGCGGGUCAGGUUGUGCGAAAGCGUUUCCUAAUCUUUAAAUCCGCUCGUGAUGGGGAUUGACGGUUGCAAUUUUCUGUCAUGAACGAGGAAUACCUUGUAAGCGCGGGUCAUCAUCCCGCGCUGAAUACGUCCCUGCCCUUUGUACACACCGCCCGUCGCUCCUACCGAUGAAUCGUCCGGUGAAGUUCACAGAGUGGCGGUUCGUGGAGUUGCUCGCGAAGUGAAAUGGACCUCACGAUUUAGAGGAAGGAGAAGUCGUAACA
RNAcentral lists this ribosomal RNA (308 nucleotides) under uncultured eukaryote. RNAcentral describes it as "partial 18S ribosomal RNA". It matches the Rfam family "Eukaryotic small subunit ribosomal RNA", at positions 1470 to 1796 of the family's 1831-position model. The record is from RNAcentral.